Molecule: small nuclear RNA, 19 nt
Filed under: Arabidopsis thaliana (thale cress)
Lineage: Eukaryota; Viridiplantae; Streptophyta; Magnoliopsida; Brassicales; Brassicaceae
Description: snRNA_08943
Source: RNAcentral
AGGAUCCGAAUGGUGACUG